AAGGCCAGGUCUUAAAAAAGCAUAUCAAUCAUAUAUUUAAUAAUAAGUACAGGUUUAUUAAUGAAGGUCUUAAUUUUAAAUUCCUUAUAAGAUUAAUAUUUAGAAAUAAUUCAUAUAAGAAUGUAUUUUGACUUUGGAAUUCUACUGCCUGCCCAAGAAAUUGACACAUACUUGUUUUACCUGUGGAAAUAUAAAUGCAUUUUCUAAAAGCCAGCUCACUAACAAAACAAUAAAAUUUAUAUUAAACCAGCAAUGAGUAGAUUUAAUAAUACAAGUGUGAACUGACUUCUAAAUAACAAAUAUAUAAUUUUUCCCCUUUUUGUUUAAACAUAUAUCCUUUAUAUGCUAUGAUGGAUUUCAUGUAAAUACUCAAACACACAUAUGUUAAGAAUGUCCUGAAUAAUAUAUUCUAGGAAUGAAACUUCUGUCUUUCUAUUUAGUCAGUGCACUUACAAAAGAAAAAAAAAAAUUUAAGGCACCUCCCCAAAAGCAAGUACAAGUUUUCUUACAUAUACCGCUAAUAAAUUUUACUCUUAUUUCACAUGCUGUCCUUAAGUCUGAACAUUUUGUCAUUGUGUUUGCCUUUUUGGAUGUGUAUGAAAUAUGUGGGGGGUUUUUUGUUCAUUAUAUUUUUUCCACCUAUAACAGCGUUUGGAAAGAAACAUAUUUGCCUCCAUAAAGUACAAGUUCCUUCCCUAACUCCAGAGUGUUGUAGAUAACGGAGUUGGAGAACUCUGUGAAUAUGGGAACCGUGAGUAGCAAGAACAUCAAUCAGUGAAGGUGCUUUUGUGCUUUAAUGUUUGUUUUCUUUUACUAAUGUUUUUUCCCCCUUAGUUCUUCAUAUCUUCAUGAAGUCAGGGACCAAGAAGUCAGC
RNAcentral lists this long non-coding RNA (874 nucleotides) under Bos taurus (domestic cattle). RNAcentral describes it as "long non-coding RNA NONBTAT024692". Lineage: Eukaryota; Metazoa; Chordata; Mammalia; Artiodactyla; Bovidae. The record is from RNAcentral.